GGAAGGGGAGGCUAGGGGGAGAAACUGGGCUAGGACCCCGAGAGAGAGCUUCAGAGGGUCACCACCAGCCUCCCCGGACCCCACACACAUCCUCCAGGAGAUCUGAGAAAAGACUCUCCUCCAGCAGGAGAAGCGUUCAGGAUUGGGAGGGGGGAGUACAGAAGACAGGAAACCUGGGACCCUUAGCGAGAAGCAGGCAGCAAAGGGGGCGCGCAAAGUGCUGGUGAAGAGAGGCUAGAAGGCUGAGGGUGCCCGAAGGAGAGGUGGCCGCUCAGGGGCCCUGAGAAGCAGCAGCGACUCCGCCGCCUUGCGUGGACAUCGAGGCUGCAGGCACCCUGACGCUGAAGAAGGUAUCCCUCCCUCUUCACCAGCCUCUGGAGGCCCGGAGACCGUCCGUCAACCUCCCCUCAACCUCCUGGGUGUCAGACCUACUGUGGACUGUCCUGCCGGCUUGUGGAGAAGGGGGAAGACACUUGUGUGAAGCUCCUGAGAACUCAGUACACGUAAGUUACCUUUCCCUGUGCCCCCUUCACCCCGGAGCAGACGUGUGAGGGGCUUUGUCCACCUGCCUGGCUGGACCGUACGUUCUUGGUUGGUGCCCACUGACUCAAUACACAGUGCUACCUGGAGCAGGAUUUUCCCUUUCCAAUUCCUUGAUGGCGCUUGCCCCGCGCGGCUGUCUCGCCAGCUCUCUGCUGCCCUCGUGUGGCCACCCUGACCCCUGGCCAUUCCCGAUCCUCUGCUCCCUCGGUGUGGUCGCUUUGCCGUAAUGCAGCCUCUUCCCGGCGUCUGGGCCCAAAGUGGCUCCUCUGCCCUCCGUGUUUCAGGCACACGCAUCAAACACAUCCGAGGCGAACCUCAGCCCUCUCUGGUCAGGUGACGUUAUCUCGGUUCUUUCCACAUCCCUUCGAGUACGCGGCCCAUCUGUAAGAGGCUCUGGGGGAGCCGCGGUGAGGGCUUGUGUGCCAGCAAGGCCUCGUCAGGCUUCCGGUCCCACAGUCUGUUGCUUUGCACGACGGCAGGUUCUCUGACCCACGGGUGCUGAGAGCAGUAUGUUGCCGGGGGGGCGUUUAAUCAUAGAUCUCCCCUCUUUUUUGCCCUUAAAUUCGGAUCUCUUUGAGUCAGUGAAGGAAAAUGCAACUAUUCUUGCGUUGCCCAGGGUAAUGGGGGACCUUGGAUAGACCCAGAGCGCCAGGACUAUGGCGUGAAGACAAGAAAAAGGGUCUGUGGGCUAGCGCCUUCGAAUCGCGUAGCUUGUCUGGCGAGGGGGACGGAGGGUUCAGGAUACAGUAAGUGCGCUGUUCUGUUUGAAAAACUUUGUGGGUGAGACUAAAGGGAGAAAUGCAUUUGGUGACCUGGCUCUAAACUAGAUUUGAGAGGGUGGGACUUGCAUACCAGAUGCCGAAGAGUCUUAUCUUUCUCCCAAUGUCAGUGAGAAAAAUUUUGUGGCAGGAUGUUAUGUGAUUG
Molecule: long non-coding RNA, 1467 nt
Organism: Acinonyx jubatus (cheetah)
Lineage: Eukaryota; Metazoa; Chordata; Mammalia; Carnivora; Felidae
Exons: 3
Source: RefSeq, a predicted model, not a curated record